UGGGGAAUAUUGGACAAUGGGGGCAACCCUGAUCCAGCCAUGCCGCGUGUGUGAAGAAGGCCUUUUGGUUGUAAAGCACUUUAAGCAGUGAAGAAGACUCUAUGGUUAAUACCCAUAGGCGAUGACAUUAGCUGCAGAAUAAGCACCGGCUAACUCUGUGCCAGCAGCCGCGGUAAUACAGAGGGUGCAAGCGUUAAUCGGAAUUACUGGGCGUAAAGCGAACGUAGGUGGCUUAAUAAGUCAGAUGUGAAAUCCCCGGGCUUGACCUGGGAACUGCAUCUGAUACUGUUGGGCUAGAGUAGGUGAGAGGGAGGUAGAAUUUCAGGUGUAGCGGUGAAAUGCGUAGAGAUCUGAAGGAAUACCGAUGGCGAAGGCAGCCUCCUGGCAUCAUACUGACACUGAGGUUCGAAAGCGUGGGUAGCAAACA
RNAcentral lists this ribosomal RNA (427 nucleotides) under uncultured Psychrobacter sp. RNAcentral describes it as "bacterial SSU rRNA". It matches the Rfam family "Bacterial small subunit ribosomal RNA", at positions 355 to 774 of the family's 1533-position model. Lineage: Bacteria; Pseudomonadati; Pseudomonadota; Gammaproteobacteria; Moraxellales; Moraxellaceae. The record is from RNAcentral.